AGUGAACGCUGGCGGUAGGCCUAACACAUGCAAGUCGAACGGCAGCACAGUAAGAGCUUGCUCUGACGGGUGGCGAGUGGCGGACGGGUGAGGAAUACAUCGGAAUCUACUUUUUCGUGGGGGAUAACGUAGGGAAACUUACGCUAAUACCGCAUAUGACCUACGGGUGAAAGCAGGGGAUCUUCGGACCUUGCGCGAUUGAAUGAGCCGAUGUCGGAUUAGCUAGUUGGCGGGGUAAAGGCUCACCAAGGCGACGAUCCGUAGCUGGUCUGAGAGGAUGAUCAGCCACACUGGAACUGAGACACGGUCCAGACUCCUACGGGAGGCAGCAGUGGGGAAUAUUGGACAAUGGGCGCAAGCCUGAUCCAGCCAUACCGCGUGGGUGAAGAAGGCCUUCGGGUUGUAAAGCCCUUUUGUUGGGAAAGAAAAGCAGCAGGUUAAUACCCCGCUGUUCUGACGGUACCCAAAGAAUAAGCACCGGCUAACUUCGUG
RNAcentral lists this ribosomal RNA (492 nucleotides) under uncultured bacterium. RNAcentral describes it as "partial 16S ribosomal RNA". It matches the Rfam family "Bacterial small subunit ribosomal RNA", at positions 29 to 507 of the family's 1533-position model. The record is from RNAcentral.